AACCCUUGUCCUUAGUUACCAGCACGUUAUGGUGGGCGACUCUAAGGAGACUGCCGGUGCAAACCGGAGGAAGGUGGGGAUGACGUCAAGUCAUCAUGGCCCUUACGGCCUGGGCUACACACGUGCUACAAUGGUCGGUACAAAGGGUUGCCAAGCCGCGAGGUGGAGCUAAUCCCAUAAAACCGAUCGUAGUCCGGAUCGCAGUCUGCAACUCGACUGCGUGAAGUCGGAAUCGCUAGUAAUCGUGAAUCAGAAUGUCACGGUGAAUACGUUCCCGGGCCUU
This 283-nucleotide ribosomal RNA is filed under the name uncultured Pseudomonas sp. RNAcentral describes it as "partial 16S ribosomal RNA". It matches the Rfam family "Bacterial small subunit ribosomal RNA", at positions 1100 to 1382 of the family's 1533-position model. Lineage: Bacteria; Pseudomonadati; Pseudomonadota; Gammaproteobacteria; Pseudomonadales; Pseudomonadaceae. The record is from RNAcentral.